RNAcentral lists this non-coding RNA (45 nucleotides) under Schistosoma margrebowiei. Lineage: Eukaryota; Metazoa; Platyhelminthes; Trematoda; Strigeidida; Schistosomatidae. The record is from RNAcentral.
AUCCAGCUGACGAGUCUUAAAUGAGACGAAACAUGCGCCCUGGAU